This 732-nucleotide ribosomal RNA is filed under the name uncultured bacterium. RNAcentral's name for it is "bacterial SSU rRNA". It matches the Rfam family "Bacterial small subunit ribosomal RNA", at positions 61 to 649 of the family's 1533-position model. The record is from RNAcentral.
GUCGAACGAAGUAAGUUGCUUCACCAAGUGUUGAAUAGAUACCCCAAGCGCAUUUGCCAAAGGGUAAGCGAAAAGUACUAUCAAUUAAAUAAAAUGGUGAAACAAAAGAAUAGCGAAGAAGAAGCAAAUGCGCUUCACGCUAAUUCCAAGUACUAACACAAAACAAAUUCAAUGUUUGGUGAAGCAACUUGCUUAGUGGCGGACGGGUGAGUAACGCGUGAACAAUCUGCCCCGUACAAAGGGAUAGCCUCGGGAAACCGGGAUUAAAACCAUAUAACACUUAACUGCCGCAUGGUAAUAAAGUCAAAUCGAGUAAGAGGUAUGGGAUGAGUUCGCGUCUGAUUAGCUAGUUGGUGAGGUAAGGGCUCACCAAGGCGACGAUCAGUAGCCGGCCUGAGAGGGUGAACGGCCACACUGGAACUGAGACACGGUCCAGACUCCUACGGGAGGCAGCAGUGGGGAAUAUUGCACAAUGGAGGGAACUCUGAUGCAGCGACGCCGCGUGAGUGAAGAAGGUCUUCGGAUCGUAAAACUCUGUCCUUGGUGAAGAAAAGGACGGUAGCCAAGGAGGAAGCCCCGGCUAACUACGUGCCAGCAGCCGCGGUAAUACGUAGGGGGCGAGCGUUGUCCGGAUUUACUGGGCGUAAAGGGUGAGUAGGCGGUUAUAUAUGUCAGGUGUAAAAAGCUAUGGCCUAACCAUAGUAAGCACUUGAAACUGUAUGACUUGAGUGC